ACCUGGUUGAUCCUGCCAGUAGUCAUACGCUUGUCUCAAAGAUUAAGCCAUGCAUGUCUAAGUAUAAACAAUUUUGUACUGUGAAACUGCGAAUGGCUCAUUAUAUCAGUUAUAGUCUAC
RNAcentral lists this ribosomal RNA (120 nucleotides) under Phytophthora infestans T30-4. RNAcentral's name for it is "18S ribosomal RNA". It matches the Rfam family "Eukaryotic small subunit ribosomal RNA", at positions 1 to 120 of the family's 1831-position model. The record is from RNAcentral. Lineage: Eukaryota; Oomycota; Peronosporomycetes; Peronosporales; Peronosporaceae.